UAGACAGCGGCAACUCCAAACCCGGUGCCGCGCCCCUCCCACCUAGCGCGCGCAGCCUACGCCAGCCCCGCGGGGCUUGCUGGAGGGCGGGCCCCCCAGCCAAUCACCGCUCCCACUUGGGCGGAUUGACGGUGGACGCCCGGGGCCGGUUGCGGGCAAAGGGGAGGGGCCUCCGGGUGCUGACCAGCCAAUUGAGGCCGCCCGGAAGUACUGCCGGGGCGCUUCUAAGAUGUGGGAACCGACAUCUGUGACUAGCCGGGGGCUAUCCAGCUAGCGACAGCUGGGGUCUGCAUGUCGGCAGCUUCCAGCCCCGCUGGGGUCUACUGCUGCAACCGUGCAAGAUGCUCAACAAAUCUGCCUGGAAAUAAAAGAAAUGAGGCAGAGAAAAUCUAAUGAUUAUUUAAAGGAAGAGGAAAUUUUGGACACAGAUACCUACAGAGGAAAGAUCAUGUGAAAACAUAAAGAGAAGACAACCAUUUACAAACCAAGAAGGGAGGCCUCAGUAAGAAUCAUCCUGGCUGACACCUUAUCUUGGACUUCCAGCCUCCAGAGUUAUAAAACAGUAGAUUUCUAUUGCUUAAGCCCCUCCCCUUUCAUUUUGUGGUGAUUUUUUAUGGCAGUCCU
Long non-coding RNA from Panthera uncia (snow leopard), 624 nucleotides. RefSeq lists it as uncharacterized. The transcript is spliced from 4 exons. The record is from RefSeq and is a predicted model, not a curated record. Lineage: Eukaryota; Metazoa; Chordata; Mammalia; Carnivora; Felidae.